AAAUGAAUUGACGGGGACCCGCACAAGCGGUGGAGCAUGUGGUUUAAUUCGAAGCAACGCGAAGAACCUUACCAGGUCUUGACAUCCUUCUGACAGUAUCCUGUAAUGGGAUAUUUCCUUCGGGACAGAAGAGACAGGUGGUGCAUGGUUGUCGUCAGCUCGUGUCGUGAGAUGUUGGGUUAAGUCCCGCAACGAGCGCAACCCUUAUCUUAUGUAGCCAGCAUUUCGGAUGGGCACUCAUGAGAGACUGCCAGGGUGAACCUGGAGGAAGGUGGGGAUGACGUCAAAUCAUCAUGCCCCUUAUGACCUGGGCUACACACGUGCUACAAUGGCGUAAACAGAGGGAAGCGAAGUCCUAAGGCCAAGCAAAUCCCAAAAAUAACGUCCCAGUUCGGACUGUGGUCUGCAACCCGACCACACGAAGCUGGAAUCGCUAGUAAUCGCAGAUCAGAAUGCUGCGGUGAAUACGUUCCCGGGUCUUGUACACACCGCCCGU
RNAcentral lists this ribosomal RNA (496 nucleotides) under uncultured bacterium. Its description in RNAcentral is "bacterial SSU rRNA". It matches the Rfam family "Bacterial small subunit ribosomal RNA", at positions 903 to 1397 of the family's 1533-position model. The record is from RNAcentral.